RNAcentral lists this ribosomal RNA (253 nucleotides) under uncultured bacterium. Its description in RNAcentral is "partial 16S ribosomal RNA". It matches the Rfam family "Bacterial small subunit ribosomal RNA", at positions 524 to 775 of the family's 1533-position model. The record is from RNAcentral.
UACGUAGGGUGCGAGCGUUAAUCGGAAUUACUGGGCGUAAAGCGUGCGCAGGCGGUUAUUUAAGUCAGGUGUGAAAGCCCUGGGCUUAACCUAGGAAUUGCGCUUGAGACUGGAUAGCUUGGAGUGCGGCAGAGGGAGGUGGAAUUCCACGUGUAGCAGUGAAAUGCGUAGAGAUGUGGAGGAACACCGAUGGCGAAGGCAGCCUCCUGGGCCAGCACUGACGCUCAUGCACGAAAGCGUGGGGAGCAACAGG